RNAcentral lists this transfer RNA (74 nucleotides) under Microcaldota archaeon. RNAcentral's name for it is "tRNA-Lys". It matches the Rfam family "tRNA". From Rfam's summary of the family: Transfer RNA (tRNA) molecules are approximately 80 nucleotides in length. The record is from RNAcentral. Lineage: Archaea; Nanobdellati; Microcaldota.
GGGCCCGUAGCUCAGCUUGGUAGAGCGUCGGACUCUUAAUCCGUAGGUCGAGGGUUCGAAUCCCUCCGGGCCCG